RNAcentral lists this ribosomal RNA (305 nucleotides) under uncultured bacterium. RNAcentral describes it as "bacterial SSU rRNA". It matches the Rfam family "Bacterial small subunit ribosomal RNA", at positions 338 to 660 of the family's 1533-position model. The record is from RNAcentral.
CCUACGGGGGGCAGCAGUGGGGAAUAUUGCACAAUGGGGGAAACCCUGAUGCAGCGACGCCGCGUGAGUGAAGAAGUAAUUCGUUAUGUAAAGCUCUAUCAGCAGGGAAGAAAAUGACGGUACCUGAGUAAGAAGCCCCGGCUAACUACGUGCCAGCAGCCGCGGUAAUACGUAGGGGGCAAGCGUUAUCCGGAUUUACUGGGUGUAAAGGGAGCGUAGACGGCAGUGCAAGUCUGGAGUGAAAGGCGGGGGCUCAACCCCCGGACUGCUCUGGAAACUGUACGGCUGGAGUGCAGGAGAGGUAA